AUCUUCACUGUACCUCCUUGUGCAACGCGGACAGGGAAGGUCAUGUAGCAGCGCAGAAACAGCUUCCUUACUCCAGAUCCUGUUACCGGCAAAUUGGACUGACUGUUGCUGUGCGAGUGACUGGCUGAGAUCCACUGGGAGGCUUGAGGAAGGCUUGAGAGGGCAGAAGAGAGUAGAAAGGGAGCUGAAGACUGCUGCAGUAACCACACACAAACAGGGAGAGAGAAAUUCAAUUUACCUGUGAGGUAUCUUUUAAUCUUAGAGUACCGCACUGGAGCACAGUGACCGAGUGAAUGUCAUAGUGUAUGCCGUUCUUGAUUUCAUUGAUCUUCAGAUAGACAGAGCUUGGUGGAGACUAGAAUAGAGACACCCACACCAUCCAUGGUUUCUAUCUGCAUAGGCUGAAAUUUAAAAGGAUUUCUGUGGGUUUGUGACAAUGAAUACUCCCGUUACUGGUGAUUUUAACAGCCAGGAUGAUGUGGGCGACUUCAUUUAAGCCAGGACCCUUUGCAAUACAUUAAAAAAAGCUGCUGUACUAAUUCUGCCAAACAUCCUCCUCAAAUGCAAGUAGUAAAGGAUCAUAGGAAGAUCUAUGCUAUAAUGAAUGAUUUUUUUAUUAGGAUACAUAUUUUAGCUGUGCUAAUAAUAACUGAUUUAUAGACCUCCAUAAUAAGUUGCUGGUUGCUGUUGAAAAGCCUUCUGUUAAUACUGUGCCAAACUAAGUCUAGCUGUCGAUUCUUGUUAGAGUUAUGAAGAUUCCUCGCGUCUAGAGCUCUCGGUCCCCAGGUGUUCCGUCGGGUUGUCUGUCUGUCUGUCCAGCUAGCUAUCAGCGUGGACAGUGCCAUUAGAGUAGAGACAUGGCCACGGAUUCAUGGCAAGACACUGGAAAGACCAGGAAAAGUCACUUCAGAUCCUGUGAGAAAAAAUCCUCAUGGGCCUCCUACAUGACCAACUCCCCCACCGUGAUUGUCAUGACUGGCCUCCCGGCGCGAGGGAAGACCUACAUGUCGAAGAAGCUCACGCGCUACCUCAACUGGAUCGGAGUGCCCACCAAGGUUUUCAACCUGGGUGCGUAUCGCCGAGAGGCUGUCAAAAUGUACAAGUCCUACGACUUCUUUCGACACGACAAUAAAGAAGCCAUGGAAAUCAGAAAACAGUGUGCCUUGGUAGCUUUAGAAGACGUGCAAGCCUAUUUGACGGAGGAAGGGGGGCAGAUCGCUGUAUUUGAUGCCACAAACACAACCAGGGAAAGAAGAGAGCUAAUCCUAAGUUUCGCAAAGGAGAACUCGUACAAGGUCUUCUUCGUGGAGUCUGUGUGCGACGAUCCUGAUGUCAUUGCUGCUAAUAUAUUGGAAGUGAAGGUGUCCAGCCCGGACUAUCCUGAAAGACACAGGGAGCGUGUCAUGGACGACUUCCUGAAGAGAAUCGCGUGCUAUGAGGUUACAUACCAGCCCCUGGAUCCAGAUAACGACGACAAAGACUUGUCCUUCAUUAAAGUGAUCAACGUGGGCCGGCGCUUCCUCGUGAACAGAGUCCAGGAUUACAUCCAGAGCAGGAUCGUCUACUAUCUCAUGAACAUCCACGUGCACCCACGCACCAUCUACCUGUGCCGCCACGGAGAGAGCCAGCACAACGUCCUGGGCAAGAUCGGGGGUGACUCGGAGCUGUCAGCGCGCGGCAAGCAGUUCGCUCAUGCCCUGCGGGAUUUCAUCAAGCAGCAGAAGCUGGCUGAUCUGAAGGUGUGGACGAGCCAGCUGCGGAGGACAAUCCAGACCGCCGAGGAGCUGGGCUCCCCGUACGAGCAGUGGAAGAUCCUGAACGAGAUCGACGCGGGGGUGUGUGAAGAGAUGACCUACGAGAUGAUCCAGGAUUCUUUCCCAGAGGAAUUUGCCCUGCGAGACCAGGACAAAUAUCACUACCGCUACCCAGGAGGAGAGUCCUACCAGGACAUGGUGCAGCGUCUGGAGCCCGUGAUCAUGGAGCUGGAGAGGCAGGGGAACGUGCUGGUCAUCUCACACCAGGCCGUCAUGCGCUGUCUGCUCGCCUAUUUCCUGGACAAGAGCGCAGAUGAACUUCCUUACCUGAAGUGCCCACUGCAUACUGUCCUCAAACUGACCCCUGUUGCUUAUGGCUGCAAAGUGGAAACGUUUUACUUGAACAUCGAAGCAGUGAACACUCACAGAGACAGACCUCCUGAUAAAAGCGGAAAGGAUCCAGCCCCGACCCUGCAGCGGCGGAAUAGUUUCACCCCUCUGGCUAGUCACGACCAGGUCAAGCGGCCACGGCUCUACAGCGCUGGCAACCGGCCACGCCUACCCCUGACCACGACACUGGGGGCGCUGCACUUCCCUGAGCCGCAGCAGGGGGCGCUGCGUCAGCAAACCCAAGUUAGUGUCACUCACUACAUCGCCUCUCCCUCACAUCCUCAAUCACAACCUGCAUCCCAUUAAUCAACGUUAUUACAUUAUUCUGCACCAAUUAAAGUAUUCAUGGAUUCGUGCUUCAACCACUAGGCAGAUCACUGAACUGACACAAUUACAGUUGAUCAUCUUCUUUUGUAGUUUAAACCGCGCAGUUCUUCUUUCCUCGGGUUUAGCGGAUCAUGAGACUCCAUCACAUAUGCUGAGAUAAAACUGGAAGAAACUAAGGAUAAGUCACUAUGGAUAAGUCAGUUAGCGCCAUGUCUUUACUCGUGGUUAGAACGCAAGGCAGCGCCCUGGAUAAAUAAGCUGCUGCCCAACUGUUUUGUUCACUAAUUCCUCUGUACCUCCUCUCCUGUUCCUUAACCCAGCAAGCAUGUUGCUAUGUAAAAAGUAAACUGCUUCAAAUGCCUAGUGUCUACAGUUUAUUGUUUGCAACUGUUCUGAGUGAUUCUGUCACGUCAACAUUACUGGAUUCCCUAUGCUUUUGAAAUACUCUGCUAUACUAUAGGAUACACUGAAUUCCCCUGUGCUUUCGAAACACCAGUCUGCUAUACUAGAGAACAUGGUGAUCUGGAAUGAGAAAACCAGCAUGUAAGAGAACCUAAAAACUCACCCGGAAUUUCAAAACAGCUCAAUCAAAACUCUCAGAAUAAACUGAUAAACCUCUUCAGUGUUCUCAGGAUUAGAGCUUGAAAUCCAUUCAAAGGGUUCAACCCUUGUAGGCAAGGGAAAGGCAACCCCACCAUUUGAAACACUAUCAGUUGAAUAAUGAGGCACUUAGGUCAUGAUACAGUAUGCAUCUCUACCUGAUACAUGAUAUGCAUCGUAGUCUGUGGGUGAUGUUCUGGUCCUCUAUUACACUGUUACACCUGUAUUACACUGUCACGCCUCUAUUACACUGUUACACCUGUAUUACACUGUCACGUCAUCUAUUACACUGUCACGUCAUCUGUUAGUAUCAGGAGUGAUGAAAGCACAGUGAAUCAGUGCAGCUCUGGUCCUCCUCCCUGCUGAAGAGUCCCCGUGCACAGCUGUCCUUGCUCUUCAUCUGUGCCUCAGCUCUUCUCCCUUUCUCCUCCCCUUUCUUUCUGCCUCUCCCUCCCUUUCUUUUCACAGCAUCGUUUGGGGAAUGCCUGCAUGGGUCGUUCCAGCCUGGCUGCCUGUGAGUCUCUAGUCGCUGUCUCUGCUUCUGAGUAGAGCCUGAAGGACACCCUUGCAUUGCUCCCACCUGCUUGUAACGUCUGUUCAAACUCCUGCUCUUGACGGCUUCAGCGACAAGCAUAUCUGUUUUUUGUAAUAAAUCCCGUAAGCAAUGUGGAAGGAGGCUGUGGGUGCAAGCAUGUGCUGCUCUUGUAAAUAAGUAGCUUUGAUAAUAUAGCAGGCUUGCAGCUGAAGUUGUGUGUGUGACAAGUUGUUAAACACAGCCAAACCUCGGCUUCUAAUACAAUAACGGUCCGCCAGUACAUCUGAAUGAGUUUUUCUCGGUUUCAAAAAAGUAAAAAUGCAUGAAGGACUUGCACUGAUGGCUUCAAAUGUUAAGCUCUGAUAUGAGAUCAGACUACCUAGAAAUAUAUAUAUAUAUAUAUAUAUAUAUAUAUAUAUAUAUAUAUAUAUAUAUAUAUAUAUAUAUAUAUUCCCUGAUUCUCAUUUUACUUUAAAUUCUAGCUGUAUGUUUAGUUAUUAAUCCAUUGUUGCACAAAUCUGGGGACGUAUUUUUUAUUUAUUUAUUUUUUAAUUCCUGUGAUUUGUAUUUAUUCACUUUUGUCAAUCCUACUGUUAUAAUGACAGUGGCAGACUGAUCAUGCCUUCCUGAUGAGAUACACAGCAUCAUGGACUGUAUCUAUUUGUAUUUAACUGUAAUUGUACUGUUCUUAAAGAUACUCGUUUCUUUAAGGGAAUGUCGAUUUGUCUGUAAAGGGAGGGAUGUGACUGAGAGAUAGAUCAAGAACAUCCCGGACACGUUACACUAGUUUGGCUACUGGGUUUCACUCCAUAUUAGCAAAAGCUGAAGAGAUUUUCUUCUGUAAAAAAAAAAAAAAAAAAAAAAGGGUUUCUUUGAACAGAAAUGAAGAUUUGGGGUUUGUUUUGACACGAGCAGUGCAGUGGUCUCCUAAUUCAAGUUGACUGUGACAGCCCCAGCUGUUUAAACACUGGCAUUCAGUGUAAAACUGCACUUCACAGGGUUUUCAGAGAACACAGUGGCAACUUGAUUUGAACUAUAGUGUAACCCAUGUUAAGAUGGUUAAAUAGCAUGUCCUUAACUUUCUGAAUCUGACUCAUUUGCUUGCCUUACAAAGUAAUCAAUAUACACAGUAUGUAUGUAUAAAUAUUUGUAAGUUUGUGAGUUAUCUAGAUUAGGUAUAAAGCGUACUGUAUACUGUAACAAUCAAUAACAAAUUACAACUAACUCAAAACCUACUGAUUAACUCAGUCGCCUUAUGGUCAAUGUAUUCUGGCUGAAUGUAUAUACAGCACAGUACUGUACACCAUUGACCUGGCAAGCCAGUAUAUUAAAUGCAUUACAGAGGCAUAUCUGUUAAGGGUGCAUUCGAAUACCAUUAGGUGGUAUUUGGUUAAAACUACAGAAUGUUGUUUGUUUGUUUUUUUUCUUCUAUCUGCAGAUUUUCUUGUUUACUGUCAUGCAAACACCUCCGAGCCCGAGCAAUGGUAUCAUGACUUCUGCUUUCUAUAGCUGAAGUUGCCUUUAUUUGAAUUGUGUGCCAGGGCGUGCUGGCCUUGCCCAUCAGGGGACAGCUAAUCUCUGUGCUGUCUCAUUGCUCUGAACACUACAUUCACUUGGAUGGAUUGCACUGAAACACAGGAUUUUUUUAGUUUUUUGUUUGGCACUCCCAUAUGAUAAACACUUUAGCGUACUAAAUUCUUUGGACAACUCGAUGAGAGUACCUAACUCAGCGACUCUCCCCGUGUGUGCUCAGCCAUGGUAAUGCCCACUGAUCUACUAAUGGUACCAGGGGGGUGAUUUGUUGUAACAGUCUGCAGUUGCGCAUGUCUCCCUCUGCUCCGUUGUGAAGGCGUGUGCAGGUUUUCAGAUCAAUGAGCCGCUCGUGAGAUUUGAGUAUCACAGGCAGAAAUAUCCUAACAUCCAUACAGGGAAUGAGUUUGUGCACUGCAAGCUCUUAGUACUCUGUGGACACUAUUCUUUAAAAGAUAAGUGGAACCCGGGUAUGAGAAAUGAAAUUCAUGCUAGGGAAGAUUUAUAACUGUUUAGAUUUCUGUGAACGCAAUCAUUAUCUAGUCAAAAUGGCUGAUUAGUUUAAUAUUUUAAAAUAAUAUUUGUAAUCCUUGCUUUUAACUGAACUAGCAAUGCAAAACUUUGUAAUGGAGCUAGUUUUGCAUAGGCAUUUAAAUAGAUGUAUUUUUAGGACAUAUAUUAAAAUAAAAAAGUUUUAAAAAGUGUAAUUUGUGGCACCAAACAUUGGGAUUUAAUGAUCUUAAUAUUUAAUAGUUAGAUUACGUAUUUCUGUGUCUGAUAUAUUCAAUGUUAUUUAUUGGCAAACUGCAGUGUGUAAUCAGGAAUGGAUUACAUUUUCAUUUCAAAAGCUGUGGAAACGCACAAUAUUUCUGAGCUUGCUCUACUGCUGAUUGUAUAAAAAAUCUGAUGUCUUUUGUUUGCUAACAUUCUUCUGUAUGUUGCAAAUCAUGAUGAUGUUAGAGUAAUUCAGCAAUGUGAUUGCACAAUCAAUAAAAAAAAAAAAAA
RNA transcript from Polyodon spathula (Mississippi paddlefish), 6141 nucleotides. It is a transcript of the gene named 6-phosphofructo-2-kinase/fructose-2,6-bisphosphatase 2-like, with no coding region annotated. The transcript has 15 exons. NCBI's taxonomy places the organism in Eukaryota, Metazoa, Chordata, Actinopteri, Acipenseriformes, Polyodontidae. The record is from RefSeq and is a predicted model, not a curated record.